Drosophila innubila is the source of this 221-nucleotide long non-coding RNA. RefSeq lists it as uncharacterized. Lineage: Eukaryota; Metazoa; Arthropoda; Insecta; Diptera; Drosophilidae. The record is from RefSeq and is a predicted model, not a curated record. The transcript has 2 exons.
GAAAUAUUUAAAAUUUUAAUAAUAUUGAGAAUUUUUGAUUACGCAGCUUUAGACUGUGCUGAGCCCGUUCUUGCUCUUCAAGGUGUCUUAUUAUUUGCUUUAACUGUCUUGAGAAAAGAGGUCUUAAAGCCUUUUCUCGAAAGAAUUCGGGGACAGCAGAACAGUUCAUCAAAUUCGGAAACUAAAGAGUCUGAAAUUACAAAUUAAGUUAUCUAAGCGCU